GAUGAACGCUGGCGGCGUGCCUAAUACAUGCCAGUCGAGCGAACAGACGAGGAGCUUGCUCCUCUGACGUUAGCGGCGGACGGGUGAGUAACACGUGGAUAACCUACCUAUAAGACUGGGAUAACUUCGGGAAACCGGAGCUAAUACCGGAUAAUAUAUUGAACCGCAUGGUUCAAUAGUGAAAGACGGUUUUGCUGUCACUUAUAGCUGGAUCCGCGCCGCAUUAGCUAGUUGGUAAGGUAACGGCUUACCAAGGCAACGAUGCGUAGCCGACCUGAGAGGGUGGUCGGCCACACUGGAACUGAGACACGGUCCAGACUCCUACGGGAGGCAGCAGUAGGGAAUCUUCCGCAAUGGGCGAAAGCCUGACGGAGCAACGCCGCGUGAGUGAUGAAGGUCUUCGGAUCGUAAAACUCUGUUAUUAGGGAAGAACAAAUGUGUAAGUAACUAUGCACGUCUUGACGGUACCUAAUCAGAAAGCCACGGCUAACUACGUG
This 497-nucleotide ribosomal RNA is filed under the name uncultured bacterium. RNAcentral describes it as "partial 16S ribosomal RNA". It matches the Rfam family "Bacterial small subunit ribosomal RNA", at positions 28 to 507 of the family's 1533-position model. The record is from RNAcentral.